AGUGAACGCUGGCGGUAGGCCUAACACAUGCAAGUCGAACGACAGCACAGUAAGAUCUUGCUCUUACGGGUGGCGAGUGGCGGACGGGUGAGGAAUACAUCGGAAUCUACUAUUUCGUGGGGGAUUACGUAGGGAAACUUACGCUACUACCGCAUACUACCUACGGGUGAAUGCAGAGGAUCUUCGGACCUUGCGCGAUUGAAUGAGCCGAUGUCGGAUUAGCUAGUUGGCUGGGUAAAGGCCCACCAAGGCGACGAUGCGUAGCUGGUCUGAGAGGAUGAUCGGCCACACUGGAACUGAGACACGGUCCAGACUCCUACGGGAGGCAGCAGUAGGGAAUAUUCCGCAAUGGGCGAAAGCCUGAUCGAGCAACGCCGCGUGAGUGAUGAAGGUCUUCGGAUCGUAAAACUCUGUUAUUAGGGAAGAAAAGAUGCGUAAGUAACUCCGCACGUCCUGACGGUACCCAAACAGAAAGCAACGGCUAACUACGUG
This 492-nucleotide ribosomal RNA is filed under the name uncultured bacterium. RNAcentral's name for it is "partial 16S ribosomal RNA". It matches the Rfam family "Bacterial small subunit ribosomal RNA", at positions 29 to 507 of the family's 1533-position model. The record is from RNAcentral.